This is a long non-coding RNA of Balaenoptera ricei (Rice's whale), 924 nucleotides long. RefSeq lists it as uncharacterized. The record is from RefSeq and is a predicted model, not a curated record. The transcript is spliced from 3 exons. NCBI's taxonomy places the organism in Eukaryota, Metazoa, Chordata, Mammalia, Artiodactyla, Balaenopteridae.
CACCUUUCCAGUGCGGGCGAAGGCCUCGGCCACCUUGCGGUUCCGCCCUCCGUAGCAGGUAGUGAUGAGAUCAGCAACACCACAGCUCUCCAAGAAGGUGGCAGAGGACACAGGGCCACUGCAGAAGAGCUUGGUGAAGGCGAUCAUCUCCAUGAGCCCCAGUCGGAUCACGGCCGCCUUGGUGUUGUCGCCAAAGCCCAGCCCAUCACAGAAGCCAGCCCCCACGGCCACUAUAUUCUUUGAAGAGUGAAGUCAUGGGUCUGUCCAGGAUCCAGUUCUGGCCAUCAAUCUGUCUGGGUGUCCUGGACAUCUUAUCUCCCAUUAGCCUGAGUGCUCCCCCAGGGCAUCUCCUCUUCCCCCUGGACCAACCUUUGGAGCCAGGGACAGGGAUGUCCCACAGAGGGCUAUAGGGGAAAGGAAGAAGGAAGCCCAAUGUCUGAUGGUCCUCCCCUAUUCCAAUGCAGCCAAAGCUUGCUGUGAGGAGAGCAGAUAACAUGUGAAAACGAAUCCAUCUGAAAACUCCCCUUCCACAACCUACUUCUCCAAGGUAACGUAGCCCCUCCACAUCCCUAAACAGCCCACUCCUGAGUACCCCAAACCAACUUCCAUCCCAGCCACUGCUCCAAACCAGCUUCCCUUCUCAGCUCCUCAAACCAGCCCACUUCUUGUAUCCCCUAGGCAUCCCCUGUACACCUCCUAAACUCCCCAAGACAUCUGCCUCCAAACCGAUCUCUUAUCUACUCCCCAACCAACCUCCCCUUCCCAAUGGCCCCCCGCAUCUGUUUCUCAAGCCUCCCCAAAGCCAGCUCCUCUCUUCAGAAAACUCCUGGCCUACUUCUGCUGUUUUCUGUUUGUCGCACUUCACCCACCCUGAGCCCCACAGCAGUUAGCUGCACCCCCAUCCACAGGAAGGUGUCCCUGGCA